CCUACGGGUGGCAGCAGUGGGGAAUAUUGGGCAAUGGAGGAAACUCUGACCCAGCAACGCCGCGUGAAUGAUGAAGGUCUUCGGAUUGUAAAGUUCUUUUCUCAGGGAAGAAGAAAGUGACGGUACCUUAAGAAUAAGCCUCGGCUAACUACGUGCCAGCAGCCGCGGUAAUACGUAGGCGGCGAGCGUUAUCCGGAAUGACUGGGCGUAAAGGGUGCGUAGGCGGUAUGGCAAGUUAGUAGCGUAACUCCAAGGCGUAACCUUGGAACUAUUACUAAUACUGUUGGGCUUGAGUGCAGGAGGGGCAACCGGAAUUCCUAGUGUAGCGGUGGAAUGCGUAGAUAUUAGGAGGAACAGCAGUGGCGAAGGCGGGUUGCUAGACUGUAACUGACACUGAGGCACGAAAGCGUGGGGAGCAAACAGGAUUAGAUACCCGGGUAGUC
RNAcentral lists this ribosomal RNA (443 nucleotides) under uncultured bacterium. RNAcentral's name for it is "partial 16S ribosomal RNA". It matches the Rfam family "Bacterial small subunit ribosomal RNA", at positions 338 to 795 of the family's 1533-position model. The record is from RNAcentral.